Molecule: ribosomal RNA, 472 nt
Filed under: uncultured bacterium
Lineage: Bacteria
Description: SSU rRNA
Rfam family: Bacterial small subunit ribosomal RNA
Source: RNAcentral
AGGAUAAACGCUGGCGGCGUGCCUAACACAUGCAAGUCGAACGCGCUUUCGGGCUUCGGUGCGAGAGCGAGUGGCGGACGGGUGAGUAACACAUGGGUACCUACCUUGGAGUGAGGGAUACCGGCGAGAAAUCGCCGACAAUACCGCAUAGGCUUCUUCACAAGGGAAGCAAAGUGACGCGAGUCACGCUUUGAGAUGGGCCUGUGGCCGAUUAGCUAGUUGGGGGGGUAACGGCUUCCCAAGGCGACGAUCGGUAGCUGGUCUGAGAGGACGAUCAGCCACACUGGGAUUGAGAACGGCCCAGACUCCUACGGGGGGCAGCAGUGAGGAAUUUUCCGCAAUGGAGGCAACUCUGACGGAGCAACGCCGCGUGCAGGAGGAAGGUUUUCGGAUCGUAAACUGCUUUUCUCGGGGACGAGCAAGGACGGUACCCGAGGAACGAAGCCCCGGCUAACUACGCGCCAGCAGCCGC